AUGGUAGCUCGUCGUUUCAGGUCAUUGUCAUCAGAUAUUGUGCUUGUUUUAGCAUCGGGUAUUCCAUGGUUCCUGAACCUUAUUGACUUGUGUUAUUAUCUCUUAGUUCUUGUGAUACAUGAUAUUGUUGACAAUGAGAAAGUUACCUUCAGGCCUGGUACAUGUUUUACAGGACCUAACAAGGCCAUCGAUGUCAGGGCAACAAAGAGAGGUUCUCAUUUCAUACAAACCUGUAUUUUCAUAAUUUCAUUGUAUGCUCUCUUGGAAGUAUACUGUCAUUUUAUUAGAACAAUAGUAGCGGACGUGACCUUUUCCUUAUUUAAUCUUCAAAUAUUCUUCCAUCAUAUUUCCAUAAACACAUCAAGUGAGCAUAAAGUUAUCCCUGGCACUAAAAUGUACUCCCUCCGUAUGGAGGAAUCAUGUACAUCCAGAGCUACAAAUGUUAGAAGUAUUGUCUUUGCAGUGCAAAUGCAUAUGCUGAGCAAUUAUUACACACAGGUAACACAUCUUUUUACUAUUAGUUUGAAAGACGUAAGGGAACUCAUUCCGCAAGUAGAUAUUAACAAAGUUAUUGGAAGAAGCCGGUUACGCAAGGGACUCCACGCUAUCAUUAGAAGAUUUUAUGAUGUUCUAUGUUUAGCCAGGAUCCACUGGAAUCGGCAUUACUGA
RNAcentral lists this ribosomal RNA (669 nucleotides) under Triticum aestivum (bread wheat). Its description in RNAcentral is "partial small subunit ribosomal RNA". The record is from RNAcentral. Lineage: Eukaryota; Viridiplantae; Streptophyta; Magnoliopsida; Poales; Poaceae.